GGGCGAUGACGGGUAGCUGGUCUGAGAGGACGACCAGCCACACUGGAACUGAGACACGGUCCAGACACCUAAGGGUGGCAGCAGUCGAGAAUUUUUCACAAUGGGGGAAACCCUGAUGGAGCGACGCCGCGUGGGGGAUGAAUGGCUUCGGCCCGUAAACCCCUGUCAUUUGUGAACAAACCUUUCCACCGAACAAGUGGAAAGCUGAUAGUAACGGAAGAGGAAGGGACGGCUAACUCUGUGCCAGCAGCCGCGGUAAUACAGAGGUCCCAAGCGUUGUUCGGAUUCACUGGGCGUAAAGGGUGCGUAGGUGGCCGGGUAAGUCUGAUGUGAAAUCCCGGAGCUCAACUCCGGAACGGCAUUGGAUACUCUCCGGCUGGAGGGUCGGAAGGGGGACUGGAAUUCUCGGUGUAGCAGUGAAAUGCGUAGAUAUCGAGAGGAACACCAGCGGCGAAGGCGAGUCCCUGGACGACUCCUGACACUGAGGCACGAAAGCUAGGGGAGCAAACAGGAUUAGAUACCCUGGUAGUCCUAGCUAUAAACGGUGCAUAUUUGCUGUAAAAGGAAUCGACCCCUUUUGUGGCGAAGCUAACGCGUUAAAUAUGCCGCCUGGGAAGUACGGUCGCAAGAUUAAAACUCAAAGAAAUUGACGGGGGCCUGCACAAGCGGUGGAGUAUGUGGCUCAAUUCGAUUCAACGCGAAGAACCUUACCUGGCCUUGACAUGCAAGUGGUAGAACCAUGAGAGUGGGACGACCCCGCAAGGGGAGCUUGCACAGGUGCUGCAUGGCUGUCGUCAGCUCGUGUCGUGAGAUGUUGGGUUAAGUCCCGCAACGAGCGCAACCCCUGUGUCCUGUUGCCACCCAAACGAGAGUUUGGAGCACUCUGGACAGACUGCCUCAUCUAAAUGAGGAGGAAGGUGGGGAUGACGUCAAGUCAGUAUGGCCCUUACGGCCAGGGCUGCACACGUACUACAAUGCCCGGCACAAAGGGAAGCAAGACCGCAAGGUGGAGCAAAUCCCCAAAAACCGGGCCCAGUUCGGAUUGUCGUCUGCAACUCGACGGCAUGAAGCUGGAAUCGCUAGUAAUGGCGCAUCAGCUACGGCGCCGUGAAUACGUUCCCAGGCCUUGUACACACCGCCCGUCACAUCAUGAAAGCCGCUUGUACCCGAAGUCGCCGUGCUAACCGCAAGGAGGCAGGCGCCGAAGGUAUGGGUGGUGAUUGGGA
RNAcentral lists this ribosomal RNA (1226 nucleotides) under metagenome. RNAcentral describes it as "bacterial SSU rRNA". It matches the Rfam family "Bacterial small subunit ribosomal RNA", at positions 271 to 1480 of the family's 1533-position model. The record is from RNAcentral.